UACGAAGGGUGCAAACGUUGCUCGGAAUUACUGGGCGUAAAGCGCACGUAGGCGGCUUUGUAAGUUAGAGGUGAAAGCCCGGGGCUCAACUCCGGAAUUGCCUUUAAGACUGCAUCGCUAGAAUUGUGGAGAGGUAAGUGGAAUUCCGAGUGUAGAGGUGAAAUUCGUAGAUAUUCGGAAGAACACCGGUGGCGAAGGCGGCCUGCUGGGCAGUUGCUGACACUGAGGCGCGACAGCGUGGGGAGCAAACAGG
This 253-nucleotide ribosomal RNA is filed under the name uncultured bacterium. Its description in RNAcentral is "partial 16S ribosomal RNA". It matches the Rfam family "Bacterial small subunit ribosomal RNA", at positions 524 to 776 of the family's 1533-position model. The record is from RNAcentral.